This 1721-nucleotide unclassified non-coding RNA is filed under the name uncultured fungus. Its description in RNAcentral is "sequence contains 18S rRNA gene, ITS1, 5.8S rRNA gene, ITS2, 28S rRNA gene". The stretch from base 678 to 1721 matches the Rfam family "Eukaryotic large subunit ribosomal RNA", at positions 1 to 961 of the family's 3401-position model. The record is from RNAcentral. Lineage: Eukaryota; Fungi.
GGAAGGAUCAUUAACAAUGGAACAUUAACAAAGAUGGUCCGCUUCGUAAAAACAGAAUCAUAACUUGUGUGCACUCACUGAAACGGUCUGAUGCCUUGGCAGCGCACGCAGCGUCUGGACGACGGCGGGUUCAUGACCCGCGCCUUCCAGCGGGGAACCGACAAUUGCUUGGUUUCCCGGCCUGCCAAGGUGAUUCAAUAUCAAACCUUGACGCAUCCAAAUUUUUUUGCCUAAAAUUCGUUUUUGAAAUACAAACCAAAAACAACUUUCAACAACGGAUCUCUUGGUUCUCGCAUCGAUGAAGAACGCAGCGAAAUGCGAUAAGUAGUGUGAAUUGCAGAAUUCAGUGAAUCAUCGAAUCUUUGAACGCACAUUGCACUCUCUGGUAUUCCGGAGAGUAUGCCUGUUUCAGUAUCAGUAAAGUCACCUCAAGCCAACAAUCUUGCUGUUGUUUUGGUCUUGGAACUGAGCCUUGCAGCAACAAUCUCCCCUUUAAAGGAGAGCGGAGCGGCUGGCUUGAAAUGUAGCCACGGCAGGAUCUAGGUUAAACCCCGAGCGAAAAGCGUCGUAGUUGGCUCUUGCGCCAUCUUCGCUGAAAGCCCGGCUGGAGCUGGUCCGUGUUUUUUGCAGGAAAAAAUAGUUGGAGGGAGGGCCCUUUUGUGCCCCAUCCAAAAACUUGAUCUGAAAUCAGGUAGGGCUACCCGCUGAACUUAAGCAUAUUAAUAAGCGGAGGAAAAGAAACUAACAAGGAUUCCCCUAGUAACGGCGAGUGAAGCGGGAAGAGCUCAAAUUUAAAAUCUCACUGCUUCGCAGUGCGAGUUGUAGUUUAAAGAAGCGUUUUCGGUGGGCGCCUGGGUAUAAGUCCUUUGGAACAGGGCAUCAUAGAGGGUGAGAAUCCCGUUCAUGACCCGGUGCUGCCUGCUAUGUGAUGCGCUUUCAAAGAGUCGGGUUGUUUGGGAAUGCAGCCCAAAAUGGGUGGUAAAUUUCAUCUAAGGCUAAAUAUUUGCGAGAGACCGAUAGCGAACAAGUACCGUGAGGGAAAGAUGAAAAGAACUUUGAAAAGAGAGUUAAAAAGUACGUGAAAUUGUUGAAAGGGAAACGUUUGAAACCAGUCAUGCUGGCGGGAAAUCAACCCCCCUUCUGGGGGGUGCACUUUCCUGUUGGCAGGUCAGCGUCAGUUUCGAUCGCCGGAAAAAAGCUUAGGGAAUGUGGCUCCUCUCGGGGAGUGUUAUAGCCCUGGUUAAUACGGUGGUUGGGACUGAGGAACGCAGGGCAUGCCUUUAAGGCUGGGUACUCCGGUGCUCGUGCCCGCCCCGCGGUGGACAGCUUGCUGACCUCCGUUGGGACCUGGGUGCGAUCCGUCGGAUAACCACAUAUGUCCUUAGGUCGCUGACUUAAUGGUUUUAAAUGACCCGUCUUGAAACACGGACCAAGGAGUCUAACAUAUAUGCGAGUGUUUGGGUGGCAAAACCCAUGCGCGUAAUGAAAGUGAACGUAGGUGCGAUCCGCAAGGAGCAGCAUCGACCGAUCUGGAUAUUUUUUGAUAGAUUUGAGUAUGAGCAUAUCUGUUGGGACCCGAAAGAUGGUGAACUAUGCCUGAAUAGGGUGAAGCCAGAGGAAACUCUGGUGGAGGCUCGUAGCGAUUCUGACGUGCAAAUCGAUCGUCAAAUUUGGGUAUAGGGGCGAAAGACUAAUCGAACCAUCUAGUAGCUGGUUCCUGC